This 253-nucleotide ribosomal RNA is filed under the name uncultured bacterium. Its description in RNAcentral is "partial 16S ribosomal RNA". It matches the Rfam family "Bacterial small subunit ribosomal RNA", at positions 524 to 776 of the family's 1533-position model. The record is from RNAcentral.
UACGGAAGGGGCAAGCGUUGUUCGGAAUCAUUGGGCGUAAAGGGCGCGUAGGCGGUCGCGUGUGUCUGCUGUGAAAGCACACGGCUCAACCGUGUGAAGUCGGUAGAAACUGCGGGACUUGAGGCUGGGAGAGGUUGGUGGAAUUCCCUAUGUAGCGGUGAAAUGCGUAGAUAUAGGGGAGAACAUUCGUGGCGAAGGCGGCCAGCUGGACCAGCCCUGACGCUGAGGCGCGACAGCGUGGGGAGCAAACAGG